Molecule: ribosomal RNA, 131 nt
Filed under: Bacillota bacterium
Lineage: Bacteria; Bacillati; Bacillota
Description: partial 16S ribosomal RNA
Rfam family: Bacterial small subunit ribosomal RNA
Source: RNAcentral
AAAGUUAUUUUUUUUUGGAGAGUUUGAUCCUGGCUCAGGAUGAACGCUGGCGGCAUGCCUAAGACAUGCAAGUCGAACGAAGUGGCCCAUUGAAGAAUGCGUGCUUGCACAAUUUCGGAUUUGGAUUCCCA